Non-coding RNA from Erinaceus europaeus (western European hedgehog), 175 nucleotides. Lineage: Eukaryota; Metazoa; Chordata; Mammalia; Eulipotyphla; Erinaceidae. The record is from Rfam.
AUACUUACCUGGCAGGGGAGAUACCAUGAGCAUGAAGGUGGUUUUCCCAGGUUUUCCCAGAGCGCGGCUUAUCCAUUGCACUCCGGAUGUGCUGACCCCUGCAAUUUCCCCAAAUGUGGGAAGUUCAACUGCGUUAAUUUGUGGUAGUGGAGGACUGAUUUCACACUCUCCCCUG